GACGAACGCUGGCGGCGUGCCUAAUACAUGCAAGUAGAACGCUGAAGAGAGGAGCUUGCUCUUCUUGGAUGAGUUGCGAACGGGUGAGUAACGCGUAGGUAACCUGCCUUGUAGCGGGGGAUAACUAUUGGAAACGAUAGCUAAUACCGCAUAACAAUGGAUGACACAUGUCAUUUAUUUGAAAGGGGCAAUUGCUCCACUACAAGAUGGACCUGCGUUGUAUUAGCUAGUAGGUGAGGUAACGGCUCACCUAGGCGACGAUACAUAGCCGACCUGAGAGGGUGAUCGGCCACACUGGGACUGAGACACGGCCCAGACUCCUACGGGAGGCAGCAGUAGGGAAUCUUCGGCAAUGGGGGCAACCCUGACCGAGCAACGCCGCGUGAGUGAAGAAGGUUUUCGGAUCGUAAAGCUCUGUUGUAAGUCAAGAACGAGUGUGAGAGUGGAAAGUUCACACUGUGACGGUAGCUUACCAGAAAGGGACGGCUAACUACGUGCCAGCAGCCGCGGUAAUACGUAGGUCCCGAGCGUUGUCCGGAUUUAUUGGGCGUAAAGCGAGCGCAGGCGGUUUGAUAAGUCUGAAGUUAAAGGCUGUGGCUCAACCAUAGUUCGCUUUGGAAACUGUCAAACUUGAGUGCAGAAGGGGAGAGUGGAAUUCCAUGUGUAGCGGUGAAAUGCGUAGAUAUAUGGAGGAACACCGGUGGCGAAAGCGGCUCUCUGGUCUGUAACUGACGCUGAGGCUCGAAAGCGUGGGGAGCGAACAGGAUUAGAUACCCUGGUAGUCCACGCCGUAAACGAUGAGUGCUAGGUGUUGGAUCCUUUCCGGGAUUCAGUGCCGCAGCUAACGCAUUAAGCACUCCGCCUGGGGAGUACGACCGCAAGGUUGAAACUCAAAGGAAUUGACGGGGGCCCGCACAAGCGGUGGAGCAUGUGGUUUAAUUCGAAGCAACGCGAAGAACCUUACCAGGUCUUGACAUCCCGAUGCUAUUUCUAGAGAUAGAAAGUUACUUCGGUACAUCGGUGACAGGUGGUGCAUGGUUGUCGUCAGCUCGUGUCGUGAGAUGUUGGGUUAAGUCCCGCAACGAGCGCAACCCCUAUUGUUAGUUGCCAUCAUUCAGUUGGGCACUCUAGCGAGACUGCCGGUAAUAAACCGGAGGAAGGUGGGGAUGACGUCAAAGCAUCAUGCCCCUUAUGACCUGGGCUACACACGUGCUACAAUGGUUGGUACAACGAGUUGCGAGUCGGUGACGGCAAGCUAAUCUCUUAAAGCCAAUCUCAGUUCGGAUUGUAGGCUGCAACUCGCCUACAUGAAGUCGGAAUCGCUAGUAAUCGCGGAUCAGCACGCCGCGGUGAAUACGUUCCCGGGCCU
This 1369-nucleotide ribosomal RNA is filed under the name uncultured bacterium. RNAcentral describes it as "bacterial SSU rRNA". It matches the Rfam family "Bacterial small subunit ribosomal RNA", at positions 28 to 1381 of the family's 1533-position model. The record is from RNAcentral.